This 1596-nucleotide long non-coding RNA is filed under the name Zostera marina. Its description in RNAcentral is "long non-coding RNA (ZMAR_LNC000605)". The record is from RNAcentral. Lineage: Eukaryota; Viridiplantae; Streptophyta; Magnoliopsida; Alismatales; Zosteraceae.
GACCUCAUGUACAAGCGAAGGGUAGCAAGGUACCACAUUGAGAGGGUGUCCGAAAAGAACCUAACACCGGACGACCUAGUUUUGACAAACGCCAAUGUAACGGUUUGGAAAGGCUAUGUGCACGAACGAGUCAUGUGUCUUCUUGCUCAUCCGCCCAUUGAGGACAGCAAGAAGGAGUGGGCUGAGUGGCAAGAGACGGGCGGUCUGGAUUAUCAUCUUCCCUUGGAUGCAAGUGAGGGCAAGAAGGAGGAUCUUGAGGCCAAAUUUGUUGGAUCGUGAUCCGAGGUUAUAAGGGGGGAUAAUAGCUUCUUUUUGAUUUAGGCAGGUUAAAUGUGGAAUUAUCUGCAAAUACUUAAUACACAAAUGGUUGAAUAAUAAUAAAAAGGAUUAUAAUAUUAUAUCUUACAAUAUAAUAUUAUAUAUAUUCAUAAUCUUUCCUUUUCUCUUCAAAGCUUAUUACAGUAUAUGAAUACUGAGUCAACAUAUUAGAUAGUGCUUUAUAAACAACUGUAGUAUAUAGAUAUUAAGUUAUAUUAUAAGUGCACGUUGUAAUAUAGAGUAAAGGACCAGUUAGCUGGAUAUAAAAUGAUAAGUAAAUAAUUGACCAGAUAACUGGAUAUAUAUGAUAGUUAAAUAACUGACCAGAUAACUGGAUAUAUAUGAUAAAUAACUGACCAGGUAACUGGAUAGCGAUUUGAGCAAUAAAUAUAACCUCAGAUACUUGAUCAGAUAACUGGAUGAGGGAUAUGCAGAAAGUAGUCAACCUGUAUACUUGACCAGAUAAUUGGAAGAGGGAUCUUUUUAUUAAGUGUUGUUUUUAGAAAAUAAAACUAAAGUUAACAAAGAACAACACAGAAGAUUUAUACUGGUUCACCCAUACAAGGGCUAAUCCAGUCUCGACAAACUAUCAGAAUUCACUGGCCUAAAGGUAAUGGCAAAACCUUAGAGUAUCAAGGAAACUCUUAAAAACCUCUUUAAGCUUUAAGGCUACUUCGCUUAGGAACCAGUCUUUUACGGGUAGACUCACACCUUAGAGUAUCAAAGAAACUCUUAAGAACCUCUAACUUUUACGGGUAAGUUAGUACCUUGGAGUAUGAAGGAACUCUUAAAAACCUCUCUAAGCUUUAAGGUUACUUCUCUUAGGAAUCAGUCUUUUACGGGUAGACUCACACCUUAGAGUAUUAUGGAACUCUUAAAAACCUCUAACUUUUAUGGGUAAGUUAGGAUCUUAGAGUAUUAAGGAACUCUUAAAAACCUCUAAAUCUUUCAAGGUAGAUUUGACCUAAGAGUUUUUCCGGAAACUCUAUAAAAUCAAACAAGAGCUUUAUGGUUGAGCUCAAAAACCUUCUCUCACACUUUGGUGAUAUUGAGACAAACCUCUCAACCAAAGUGGACACACACAAGAGAGGAUUAAAGGAGUGGAAUGCUUAAAGCACACAAAACUUCUUACUUAUAAAGAUGAACAAGAAGGUUAGAAGUAGAAGUUGAAGAGCUUUUGAAGCUUUUGGAAGCUUGGACACUUGAGAACUUUUGGAAGCUUAAAACCUUGGAAGAUAGAACACUUUGUAGAUCUCAAGAUGAGGAAUGAAAAACUCC